Molecule: ribosomal RNA, 474 nt
Filed under: uncultured marine bacterium
Lineage: Bacteria
Description: bacterial SSU rRNA
Rfam family: Bacterial small subunit ribosomal RNA
Source: RNAcentral
AGGGUUUGAUUCUGGCUCAGAACGANCGCUGGCGGCAGGCUUAAUACAUGCAAGUCGAGCGGUCUUCUUCGGAAGGCAGCGGCGGACGGGUUAGUAACGCGUGGGAACGUGCCCUUUAGUACGGAAUAGCCAUUGGAAACGAUGAUUAAUACCGUAUACGCCCCAAGGGGGAAAGAUUUAUCGCUAAUGGAUCGGCCCGCGUUAGAUUAGGUAGUUGGUAGGGUAAUGGCCUACCAAGCCGACGAUCUAUAGCUGGUUUGAGAGGAUGAUCAGCAACACUGGGACUGAGACACGGCCCAGACUUCUACGGAAGGCAGCAGUAGGGAAUCUUGGACAAUGGGCGAAAGCCUGAUCCAGCCAUGCCGCGUGAGUGAUGAAGGCCCUAGGGUUGUAAAGCUCUUUCGCCAGGGAAGAUAAUGACGGUACCUGGUAAAGAAACCCCGGCUAACUCCGUGCCAGCAGCCGCGGUAAUAC